CAUGCAUGUCUCAGUACUAACCGCUUUAAGGCGAAACCGCGAAUGGCUCAUUAAAUCAGUUAUGGUUCCUUGGAUCUUACCCACACUUACAUGGAUAACUGUGGUAAUUCUAGAGCUAAUACAUGAACCUCGUGCCCCGACCAGUGAUGGAAGGGGUGCUUUUAUUAGAACAAAACCAAUCGGUCGGUCUUCCGUCCGUUGCCUUGGUGACUCUGAAUAACUUUUGGCUGAUCGCACGGUCCUAGCACCGGCGACGCAUCUUUCAAAUGUCUGCCUUAUCAACUUUCGAUGGUAGGUUCUGCGCCUACCAUGGUUGUAACGGGUGACGGGGAAUCAGGGUUCGAUCCCGGAGAGGGAGCCUGAGAAACGGCUACCACAUCCAAGGAAGGCAGCAGGCGCGCAAAUUACCCACUCCCGGAACGGGGAGGUAGUGACGAAAAAUAACGAUACGGGACUCAUCCGAGGCCCCGUAAUCGGAAUGAGAACACUUUAAAUCCUUUAACGAGGAUCUAUUGGAGGGCAAGUCUGGUGCCAGCAGCCGCGGUAAUUCCAGCUCCAAUAGCGUAUAUUAAAGUUGUUGCGGUUAAAAAGCUCGUAGUCGGAGGUGUGUCUCGGACGGUCGGUUCGCCGCUUGUCGGUGCUCAACUGGCCGGUCCGGACGUCCUGCCGGUGGGGCCGCGAGGCUCCGUUAUCCUUCUUUGGUCCUCUUCACCGAGUGCCUUGGUGGGCCGGCACGUUUACUUUGAACAAAUUAGAGUGCUCAAAGCAGGCCGUUGGUCGCCUGAAUACUGUGUGCAUGGAAUAAUGGAAUAGGACCUCGGUUCCAUUUUGUUGGUUUUCAGAACUCGAGGUAAUGAUUAAUAGGGACGGACGGGGGCAUUCGUAUUGCGACGUUAGAGGUGAAA
Molecule: ribosomal RNA, 905 nt
Filed under: Copera vittata
Lineage: Eukaryota; Metazoa; Arthropoda; Insecta; Odonata; Platycnemididae
Description: SSU rRNA
Rfam family: Eukaryotic small subunit ribosomal RNA
Source: RNAcentral